CAGAGACCACCACACCCACAGACCAGCAGACCACCCCCCAGCCCCACCACUGACAGAGACCACCACACCCACAGCCCCACCACUGACAGAGACCACCACACCCACAGCCCCACCACUGACAGAUACCACCACAGGCACAGUCACACCACUGACAACCACCACCACAGGGACCACCACACCCAGAGCCACGCCACUGACAGAGACCCCCAGAAAAACCACUACAGCCACAGUCAUACCACGGACAGAGACCACCACACCCACAGUCACACCACUGACAGAGACCACCACAGAAACCGCCACACGCACAGUCACACCACUGACAAAGACUACAACAGAAACCACCACAGUCACAGCCACUCCACUGACAGAGACAACCAGAGAGACUACCAUAUCCAUAACCCCAAUACAGACGGAGACCACCACACGCACAGCCCCACCACUGACAGAGACCACCUCACGCACAGCCCCACCACCGACAGAGACCACGACAGCCACACCACUGACAACCACCACCACAGAGACCACCACACCCAGAGCCAUGCCACUGACAGAGACCACCACACCCACAGUCACACCACUGACAGAGACCACUACAAAAACCACUACACCCACAGCCACACCACUGACAAAGACUACAACAGAAAGCACCACAGUCACAGCAACUCCACUGACAGAGACAAUCAGAGAGACUACCACACCCACAGCCACACCACUGACAAAGACCACCACAGCCACACCACUGACAAAGACCACCACAGCCACACCAUUGACAAAGACCACCACAGCCACACCACCGACAACCACCACCACAGGGACCACCACACCCACAGCCCCACCACUGACAGAGACCACCAGAGCCACAUCACUGACAACCACCACCACAGAGACCACCACACCCACAGCCCCACCACUGACAGAGACCACCACAGCCACAUCACUGACAACCACCCCCACAGAAACCGCCACACGCACAGUCACACCACUGACAAGGACUACAACAGAAUUUACCAUAGUCACAGCCACUCCACUGACAGAGACAACCAGAGAGACUACCAUAUCCACAGCCCCAAUUCUGACAGAGACCACCACACACACAGCCCCACCACCGACAGAGACCACCGCAGCCACACCACUGACAACCAUCACCACAGAGACCACCACACACACAGCCCCACCACUGACAGAGACCACUACAAAAACCACUACACCCACAGCCACACCACUGACAAAGACCACCACACCCACAGUCACACCACUGACAGAAACCACCACAGAAACCGCCACACGCACAGUCACACCACUGACAAAGACUACAACAGAAAGCACCACAGUCACAGCCACUCCACUGACAGAGACAACCAGAGAGACUACCACACCCACAGCCCCACCACUGACAGAGACCACCACAGCCACACCACUGACAACCACCACCACAGGGACCACCACACCCACAGCCCCACCACUGACAGCGACCACCACAGCCACACCACUGACAACCACCACCACAGGGACCACCAUACCCACAGCCCCACCACUGACAGAGACCACCACAGCCACACCACUGACACCAGACAGGAACCACACAGAGCAAGAAAAACCACUACACCCACAGUCAUACCACUGACAGAGACCACCACACCCACAGUCACACCACUGACAGAGACCACCACAGAAACCGCCACACGCACAGUCACACCACUGACAAAGACUACAACAGAAACCACCACAGUCACAGCCACUCCACUGACAGAGACAACCAGAGAGACUACCAUAUCCACAGCCCCAAUACUGACGGAGACCACCACACGCACAGCCCCACCACCGACAGACACCACCACCCUCACAGCCCCGCCACUGACAGAGACCACCACACCCACAGCCCCACCACUGACAGAGACCACCACACGCACAGCCCCACCACUGACAGAGACCUCCACAGCCACACCACUGACAACCACCACCACAGAGACCACCACACCCACAGCCCCACCACUGACAGAGACCACCACAGCCACACCACUGACAACCACCACCACAGAGACCACCACACCCACAGCCCCACCACUGACAGAGACCACCACAGGCACAGUCACACCACUGACAACCACCACCACAGGGACCACCACACCCAGAGCCACGCCACUGACAGAGACCACCACACCCACAGUCACACCACUGACAACCACCACCACACCCACAGCCCCAUCACUGACAACCACCACCACACCCACAGCCAUACCACUGACAAAGGCUACAACAGAAACCACCACAGUCACAGCCACUCCACUGACAGAGACAAUCAAAGAGACUACCAUAUCCACAGCCCCAAUACUGACAGAGACCACCACACGCACAGCCCCACCACUGACAGAGACCACCACAGCCACACCACUGACAACCUCCACCACAGAGACCACCACACCCACAGCCCCACUACUGACAGAGACCACCACAGCCACACCACUGACAACCACCACCACAGAGACCACCACACCCACAGCCCCACCACUGACAGAGACCACCACAGCCACACCACUGACCAUCACCAGCACAGAGACCACCACACCCACUGCCCCACUACUGACAGAGACCACCACAGCCACACCACUGACAACCACCACCACAGAGACCACCACACCCACAGCCCCACCACUGACAGAGAUCACAGCCACACCACUGACAACCACCACCACAGAGACCACCACACCCACAGCCCCACAACUGACAGAGACCACCACAGCCACACCACUGACGACCACCACACCCACAGCCCCACCACUGACAGAGACCACCACAGCCACACCACUGACAACCACCACCACAGGGACCACCACACCCAGAGCCACGCCACUGACAGAGACCCCCAGAAAAACCACUACACCCACAGUCAUACCACUGACAGAGACCACCACAGAAACCGCCACACGCACAGUCACACCACUGACAAAGACUACAGCAGAAACCACCACAGUCACAGCCACUCCACUGACAGAGACAACCAGAGAGACUACCAUAUCCACAGCCCCAAUACUGACAGAGACCACCACACGCACAGCCCCACCACUGACAGAGACCACCACAGCCACACCACUGACAACCACCACCACGGAGACCACCACACCCAUAGCUCCACCACUCACAGAGACCACCACAGCCACACCACUGACCACCACCAUCACAGAGACCACCACACCCACAGCCCCACCACUGACAGAGACCACCAAAAAAACCACCACACCCACAGUCAUACCACUGACAGAGACCACCACACCCACAGUCACACCACUGACAGAAACCACCACAGAAACCGCCGCACGCACAGUCACACCACUGACAAAGACUACAACAGAAACCACCACAGUCACAGCCUCUCCACUGACAGAGACAACCAGAGAGACUACCAUAUCCACAGCCCCAAUACUGACGGAGACCACCACACGCACAACCCCACCACCGACAGACACCACCACCCCCACAGCCCCACCACUGACAGAGACCACCACACGCACAGCCCCACCACUGACAGAGACCACCACAGCCACACCACUGACAACCACCACCACAGAGACCACCACACCCACAGCCCCACCACUGACAGAGACCACCACAGGCACAGUCACACCGACAACCACCACCACAGGGACCACCACACCCAGAGCCACGCCACUGACAGAGACCACCACACCCACAGUCACACCACUGACAACCACCACCACACCCACAGCCCCAUCACUGACAACCACCACCACACCCACAGCCACACCACUGACAAAGGCUACAACAGAAAUCACCACAGUCACAGCCACUCCACUGACAGAGACAAUCAGAGAGACUACCAUAUCCACAGCCCCAAUACUGACAGAGACCACCACACACACAGCCCCACCACUGACAGAGGCCACCACAGCCACACCACUGACAACCACCAUCACAGAGACCACCACACCCACAGUCACACCACUGACAGAGACCACCAUACCCACAGCCCCACCACUGACAGAGACCACUACAAAAACCACUACACCCAUAGCCACACCACUGACAAAGGCUACAACAGAAACCACCACAGUCACAGCCACUCCAGUGACAGAGACAAUCAGAGAGACUACCACACCCACAGCCACACCACUGACAGAGACCCAUACAUCCACAGUCACACCACUGACAACCACCACCACAGGGACCACCAGACGCACAGUCACACCACUGACAAAGACUACAACAGAAUCCACCACAGUCACAGCCACUCCACUGACAGAGACAACCAGAGAGACUACCAUAUCCACAGCCCCACCACUGACAGAGACCACCACAGCCACACCACUGACAACCACCACCACAGAGACCACCACACACACAGCCCCACCACUGACAGAGACCACCAGAAAAACCACCACACCCACAGUCAUACCUCUGACAGAGACCAGCACAGAAACCUCCACACGCACAGUCACACCACUGACAGAGACUACAACAGAAACCACCACAGCCACACCAGUGACAAAUACCACCACAGGGAUCACCACACCCACAGACACACCACUGACAAAGACUACCACACCCACAGUCCCACCACUGACAAAGACCACCACAGGUACCACUCAAGCCCAAAACUCGGUCAGCACAGUGAACUUCACAGCCCCAAUAUCACACUCUACUUCAGCCAUCCUCCCUGUGACCACUUCUCCAGCACUCAGCACUAUCUCCCAUACAUCCACCAGUAGAGGCACUGGGACACCCAUGACACGCACUACAACAGCCGCCCCCACUAGGCCACACAUGCCAUUCACCACUCACUCCCGUGCCACCGUUUCUGUCCAUACCACCUCUCACACAACAGCUCUGCCAGCAGGAACAUCCUUCCGGCCCACCACCACCCAUUCCACCCCAUCACAUCCAGAGACCCUUCCCGUCCACGUGUCAACAUCUGUGACUUCCACCUCUCACCGAGUCAUCACCCCAACUGAGUCCCAUGCUACCUACUCCACCACAAAGCCUACUGGCACCCCAACGCCAUUGACACACAUCCUGGUCACAUCCACGGCACCCACAUCCAUGUCCUCACUGUCGACAACAACAACAGGGAGCACCACACCCACAACCCUGCCACUCACAAAGACCACAACAGGGACCACUCAGGCCCAGAGCCCGGUCAGCACGGUGCCAGCACAAAGCUCUAGCUUCCCCUCUCCAUCAUCUUCUCCGGCUUCUCUGAACCCAAGCCGAAGUCCUCUAACCACUUCUGUUUCCGUGUCGACUCUGCCCCAUUACCCCCCUUCUUCCACUGUCUCGACCCCCUCCUCCUCGCCCACUGCUUCCUCUCCUCCUCCUCACGGGUCCUCGAACACCUCUCCUUUGAUAUCAUCUUCCCCCUCCCCUUCUGCAGUCUCCACUUCACACAGCAUCCCAAGUGUCAGCUCAGCUCCACACCGUCCCUCGCCCUCUGCACCUCUGACCGAGUCACAGACAGCAUCCCUGCUGACCAGCCCCCCUUCCCCCGCCGCCUCCACACCCAUCAGGCCCUCCCUCUCACCUCCAUCAGCUCCGACGCUGUCCCCUGCCCCCACUGUUAGUACCGUCAUCCUGUCUACACCCCGGACCACAGUCAGCAGCCCCACCUCCUCCGUCCCGUCCUCUCAGUCCACCACCGCACAGGCCACCUCUCUCACCACCCAAACCCCCACCCACGGCCUCCUGUCUUCUACGCUGGGCGUGACAGCCGUCCCAAGUUCUCCAGCCACCAACCUCACCACCAGACAGCCGAGUACCACCAGGCUGCAGACUACCGUGUUCCUGGCCAGCUCCAUCACUGCACACGAAAGCUCCUUCCUCCCCACCGCCGGGUCUGUGUCCACAGAGAGCCAGUCCAUCUCCACCUUUGCUACAUCUCUUCCCAGCUCUGCAGGUACUGAGACAGGCAGACCAGAGACACCUCCGUCCACAGGGGCCUGCAGCGUGAAGGAGUCGGAGGAAGAAGUCACUUUCCAGGGGUGCACGGCCAACAUCACGGUGACCCGCUGCGAGGGUGUGUGCGCCUCCUCGGCCAGGUGAGCCAUCGGCCCCACCCUGCCUGACAGAGACUCUUCUCAUAGAAGCUAGGGAAGACCCGCCGAGAGCUCCCAGCUCCAGCAGUGUGCCUCCCCGUCAGGGCACCCCGGCCCCCCCACACACACCUGUCUGCGCCACACCUGCUGGAGCGGGGGAGCUCAGAAACGGGAGCCAGCCCCUCCCUGCAGGCCCAGGCUGGGACCCUGGCGCCCACCUCCCCACGGGCCGGGGAGGGGCACGCUGAGGCGGCUGCCCUGACGCAUGCUCCCCCCACCGCUCCUCUGCAGCUUCGACAUGGACACCAUGCAAGUAGCCACCACCUGCAGCUGCUGCCGCCCUGUCAGCUCCUACGAGGCGGAGCUCGUGCUGCCCUGCACGGACCCUGCGGCGUGGGGGCAGCAGCUGGUGCUCACGGUGCAAGUGUUCAGCAGCUGUGCGUGCUGCCGCCAGCGCUGUGGAGACUAGAGCUCCAUCCACAAAACCGCCCGACACGCUGGGCCCCGCAGCCCCUUCCGAGGCACAGCCGUGGCCUCCGAGAGCCCUCGGAGGUGGCUCACCCGGGCCGCCGGAGAGAAAGGGGGUGCGGGCGGGGGUCCUGCAGACCCCGACGGGCCCCAGCAGGCUGCACGGGACUGGCUGGCCUCCGGGGCCACACAGGGCGCUGCCUGCCAUGCCCACUGCUCGUGCACAGCCUCCAGUCCUGCUGGGACUAAGACCGGGGGCAGAGCAGCACGGAAGGCUGUCCAGAAGGGGCUCCUGGGGAGGCCGGGCCCCCGAGCAGAGGGUCGGGGAGAGACACAGGUCACAGCAUGCAGAGGGAAGCGAAGGGGGGCACCCCACCUGCCUGCCGACAGGGCUCACCCUGGCGAGGGGGCACCCGGGCACCACACCCUGGCGAACAGACGGCAAUAAACUGGCCCUGGUCAAAGCACAAAGGCUCGCAGACUCCUGUUGGCUCCCGCGCCCGCGCACUCCUAAGUUCCCAGACCCACUCCGGGUCCACGGCACUGGCCCAACACCAGUCUAGGCCCAGAAG
This 7084-nucleotide long non-coding RNA is filed under the name Capra hircus (goat). RNAcentral describes it as "lncRNA (ENSCHIG00000002410.1)". The record is from RNAcentral. Lineage: Eukaryota; Metazoa; Chordata; Mammalia; Artiodactyla; Bovidae.